AGUGGGAUAAUUGGGUCAAAUGGUGGGCCCAUUACAAUUUUUCUAAGAAAUCUCUAUACUACUUUCCAAAGUUUUUGCACCAGUUUGCAAUUCUACCAACAAU
This 103-nucleotide microRNA precursor is filed under the name Marmota monax (woodchuck). The record is from RNAcentral. Lineage: Eukaryota; Metazoa; Chordata; Mammalia; Rodentia; Sciuridae.